UAGGGAAUCUUCCACAAUGGGCGAAGGCCUGAUGGAGCAACGCCGCGUGUGUGAUGAAGGGUUUCGGCUCGUAAAACACUGUUGUAAGAGAAGAAUGACAUUGAGAGUAACUGUUCAAUGUGUGACGGUAUCUUACCAGAAAAGAACGGCUAAAUACGUGCAG
This 163-nucleotide ribosomal RNA is filed under the name uncultured bacterium. RNAcentral's name for it is "partial 16S rRNA". It matches the Rfam family "Bacterial small subunit ribosomal RNA", at positions 355 to 510 of the family's 1533-position model. The record is from RNAcentral.